This 113-nucleotide ribosomal RNA is filed under the name Sarcocystis hirsuta. Its description in RNAcentral is "partial 18S ribosomal RNA". It matches the Rfam family "Eukaryotic small subunit ribosomal RNA", at positions 1722 to 1827 of the family's 1831-position model. The record is from RNAcentral. Lineage: Eukaryota; Apicomplexa; Conoidasida; Eucoccidiorida; Sarcocystidae.
GUCGCGAUUGUGUAACAGCAAUCGUGUGCGGAAUGGAAAGUUUUGUGAACCUUAACACUUAGGGGAAGGAGAAGUCGUAACAAGGUUUCCGUAGGUGAACCUGCGGAAGGAUC